GUAGGUCCCGAGCGUUGUCCGGAUUUAUUGGGCGUAAAGGGAGCGCAGGCGNUCAGGAAAGUCUGGAGUAAAAGGCUAUGGCUCAACCAUAGUGUGCUCUGGAAACUNUCUGACAUGAGUGCAGAAGGGGAGAGUGGAAUUCCAUGUGUAGCGGUGAAAUGCGUAGAUAUAUGGAGGAACACCAGUGGCGAAAGCGGCUCUCUGGUCUGUCACUGACGCUGAGGCUCGAAAGCGUGGGUAGCGAACAGGAUUAGAUACCCUGGUAGUCCACGCCGUAAACGAUGAGUGCUAGGUGUUAGGCCCUUUCCGGGGCUUAGUGCCGGAGCUAACGCAAUAAGCACUCCGCCUGGGGAGUACGACCGCAAGGUUGAAACUCAAAGGAAUUGACGGGGGCCCGCACAAGCGGUGGAGCAUGUGGUUUAAUUCGAAGCAACGCGAAGAACCUUACCAGGUCUUGACAUCCCGAUGCUAUUCUUAGAGAUAGGAAGUUACUUCGGUACAUCGGAGACAGGUGGUGCAUGGUUGUCGUCAGCUCGUGUCGUGAGAUGUUGGGUUAAGUCCCGCAACGAGCGCAACCCUUAUUGUUAGUUGCCAUCAUUAAGUUGGGCACUCUAGCGAGACUGCCGGUAAUAAACCGGAGGAGGGUGGGGAUGACGUCAAAUCAUCAUGCCCCUUAUGACCUGGGCUACACACGUGCUACAAUGGUCGGUACAACGAGUUGCGAGCCGGUGACGGCAAGCUAAUCUCUGAAAGCCGAUCUCAGUUCGGAUUGGAGGCUGCAACUCGCCUCCAUGAAGUCGGAAUCGCUAGUAAUCGCGGAUCAGCACGCCGCGGUGAAUACGUUCCCGGGCCUUGUACACACCGCCCGUCACACCACGAGAGUUUGUAACACCCGAANU
RNAcentral lists this ribosomal RNA (899 nucleotides) under uncultured bacterium. Its description in RNAcentral is "bacterial SSU rRNA". It matches the Rfam family "Bacterial small subunit ribosomal RNA", at positions 527 to 1427 of the family's 1533-position model. The record is from RNAcentral.